Molecule: ribosomal RNA, 539 nt
Filed under: Anelosimus potmosbi
Lineage: Eukaryota; Metazoa; Arthropoda; Arachnida; Araneae; Theridiidae
Description: eukaryotic LSU rRNA
Rfam family: Eukaryotic large subunit ribosomal RNA (bases 291-539)
Source: RNAcentral
ACGGCAGGUGGCCGGUGGCGCGCCUCGUGCGCGUCGUCGGUGUCUAGCCGGCUCCGUCACACGGCACGAGUCCCGACCGUGGUGUCGCGAAGCCCUUCCCUUGGGCUUCACCGCCUCCUCUCGUAAAAAGACGCGCACUGGACGCGGCAGUGGCUCUUCAAGGCGGCGGGCGCACAGACUGACUCUGUGGCCAGCUGCGUGGAGUCCUCGUUGGCCGCGCGAGAUGCGUUGGAGGCCGGCGGUUGGCGGCGAGUAGAUCGGUCACCCAUCCGACCCGUCUUGAAACACGGACCAAGGAGUCUAACAUGUGUGCGAGUCAAUGGGUCUCGAAUAAGCCCAGAGGCGCAAUGAAAGCAAAGGCCGGACUCGACUCCGGCCGAGUUGGGAUCCCGGGGCCGCCGAGCUCCGGGCGCACCAACGACCCGCCCUGUCCGAUUCAUCGGUUGGGCGGAGUCUGAGCAUACACGUUGGGACCCGAAAGAUGGUGACCUAUGCCCGGGCAGGACGAGGCCAGAGGAAACUCUGGUGGAGGUCCGCAG